CGUGCGCACGCGCCGAAUCCCGAAAGGGAACCGGGGAACCACCAACUUGGGGUGAAUCGGGCACCUUUGCGCCUUUGAAGAGGUGCCCGUAGGAGACCUUCCUGCUCCGAACCCGUCAGCUAACCCGGUAGGCGAGAAGGAAGGAAAGG
RNAcentral lists this small RNA (149 nucleotides) under Streptomyces sp. RNAcentral describes it as "c-di-AMP sequence". It matches the Rfam family "c-di-AMP riboswitch aptamer (ydaO/yuaA leader)". From Rfam's summary of the family: This family represents a conserved RNA structure found upstream of the ydaO and yuaA genes in Bacillus subtilis and related genes in other bacteria. The ydaO/yuaA element is thought to act as a genetic "off" switch for the ydaO and yuaA genes in its native state. RNAcentral also lists the same sequence under 1 other name. Lineage: Bacteria; Bacillati; Actinomycetota; Actinomycetes; Kitasatosporales; Streptomycetaceae. The record is from RNAcentral.